RNAcentral lists this ribosomal RNA (739 nucleotides) under uncultured bacterium. RNAcentral's name for it is "bacterial SSU rRNA". It matches the Rfam family "Bacterial small subunit ribosomal RNA", at positions 48 to 790 of the family's 1533-position model. The record is from RNAcentral.
GCUACCAUGCAAGUCGAGCGGGAUGAAUCGGUUUAGUUUACUAAGGUGGUACAUCCAGCGGCGGACGGGUGAGUAACGCGUGAGCAAUCUGCCUUGUACAGGGGGAUAACAGCCGGAAACGGCUGCUAAUACCGCAUAAGGCCACAGUACCGCAUGGUACAGGGGUCAAAGGAGAGAUCCGGUAUAAGAUGAGCUCGCGUUCCAUUAGCUGGUUGGUGAGGUAACAGCCCACCAAGGCAACGAUGGGUAGCCGGCCUGAGAGGGUGAACGGCCACAUUGGGACUGAGACACGGCCCAAACUCCUACGGGAGGCAGCAGUGGGGGAUAUUGCGCAAUGGGGGGAACCCUGACGCAGCAACGCCGCGUGAGUGAAGGAGGCCUUCGGGUCGUAAAACUCUGUGACAGGGGAAGAAGAAAGUGACGGUACCCUGAGAGGAAGCCCCGGCUAACUACGUGCCAGCAGCCGCGGUAACACGUAGGGGGCGAGCGUUGUCCGGAAUUACUGGGCGUAAAGGGUGCGUAGGCGGCCAGGCAAGUCCGAUGUGAAAUACCAUGGCUAAACUGUGGGGGUGCAUAGGAAACUGUCUGGCUUGAGUGCAGGAGAGGGAAGUGGAAUUCCUAGUGUAGCGGUGAAAUGCGUAGAGAUUAGGAAGAACACCAGUGGCGAAGGCGACUUUCUGGACUGUAACUGACGCUGAGGCACGAAAGCGUGGGGAGCGAACAGGAUUAGAUACCCUGG